GUGAGCGCCUGGAAGCCCGCUCUGUUCUUCCAGAUGAAUGAAGAAGUGAAUCCAAACCUGGAAGUGGAUAUUUUUUAAAAAAAAGUCCCAUCAUCACUUUGGGAGCCGUCAUGUCCAAGUGUCACAAAGGAGAAUUUCUCAAUGAGGAACUGGCCGGCGAGGGGAAAAGUACCCUUCAAGAAGACUUCCUGCUAGAAGUCAAGUGGAGGGCCAGCAACAGUCGCACCACGGAGGCUGAGACCUUUCUGGGUUCAUUUUCCGAGUCUGGAGCCGCUGGUUCCUCCAGAGCCCACACUCUGCUGCCCUCCCAGGCCCCCACACUCCGGCCGCCGAGCUGAAGCCUCAGCCGAAAACGAGAGACAACUGUUGGUCCCACAUUAGGGAUGAGCACACCGAGGCCCAGUUCUGAGGCGGUAAUUUGCUGGCCUGACUCUGGACACCCGCAGACACACCUCAGCUCUCAGGGCGUGUUCCCAGGGCGCGGACCCACCCCGAGUCCUGUUCCUCCCGGAGGGCUUCCAGGCUCCGACCCCGUGACCAAUGGGAGCCCAGGUCCCUCUUCCUUGACAAACUCAAGUUGAUGAUUCUUUCUCUCUGGUCUGAAACCAGUUCCCAUCCCAUCAGGGGGGCCCCUGCACACCUCCCCUGGGCCCCGUUCCUCUCUUGGCUGCAGGCGGAUGGAGAGAGUUUUCAGCAGCGACACGAUCUGGUUCCCAUUUCCCGGAGUUGGGCACUGUGCAGUGCUCUGUCUCAUUUAAACCCACAGCAGCCCUGGGAGGCUCUUACUAUCCCCAUCUGCACGUUACAGAUGAGGAAACGGAGGCUGAGACAGGUGGGUCAUGUGGCGGUGUUGAGACGAGGUUAUCCCGACAGGCCCAUCUGAUCACAUGGUCCCUGAGGGCAGGGACCUUUCCUGGCUGUGGUCAGAGGGUGAGAUGCCUCCAAGGAAGACGGUCCGAGAGAUGCCACGCGACUCGUCUGCCCAUUGUUGGCUUUGAAAAUGGAGGGGGAGGUCUGCGGCCAGGGGAUGCAGGUGACUUUGCACUCUGGACAGAGGUUGGAAACAGAUUCUAUCCGAGAGCCUCCAGAGAACCUGGCCCUGGGACACCGUGAACUCAGGCCAGACUUCCCAUCCACAGCACUCCGAGGGGAUAACUGCAUGGUGUGGAGGCUGCUCAAUGUGUGGGGAUUUCUUUUGGUGACAAUAGAAAUCGAAUGCAGCAAAGUGUUUCAGGCCUGGAGGCCUCUGCCCUCCCUCUCAGGCACAAAAUGCAGACCAUGAGCCCUGUGGCCUUGGACGGCUGUGGGAAAUGCAGAGAUGGGUGGCGCAAGUUACGAGACCCAGUGCCCAGCACACAGUAGGAGCACAGGGGCUGCUGGCUGAACUGGAGUUUGGUGAUGCACUGUUGAGACAGUCUCUUCUAGAGUCAGGCUGUGAUUGGCAGCUGUCCAUCAGGGUAGAGAGCAAGCCUUAGAGGUGUUCAGAGGAGUGGACUAGGCUGGUCACAGAGGCACCAGAGGUACCAGUUGCAGGGACGUCAGCAGAGAGUUGUCUCUGCAAUCCAGACAUGGGAGUGGCCAUCCACACACCAGGUGAAGGCCCCCGGGUCAAGGCGAGGUUCUCUGGAGCAGGGGUUUGGAGUCAGGAUCUCUGAGUUGGGGUCCUUGCUGGGCUGCUGCUGGACAUUGCCACAGCUCUCUGUAGAGCUGCUGUCCCUGGGAGCCUGCACUCUGGGAAGGGUCCCCACGUGUCCUCUGCAUCACCGAGGGCGGGUGGCUCUUGCUCUUCUCCUGUCACUUGCCAUGUGACAUGGAGGAAAGGUGUUUCUUUCUGGGUCCUGUUUCCUUGUCCGCAAAAUGAAGAUGUUGCUCCUGGCAACCUUUCAGGUGCCCUUCAGCUCUAAGAUUCUGGGUAUCUGUGUUUCCAAGUGGGGAGGGGAUCCCCAAAGGAAAAACCAAAGCAAAAGGUUUGGAAGAAUAAAGGCUAACCCAGGCUGGCUGGAAGUCAGACACCGUUCAGUUAAUAGUUGAUUCAAUCCUCUAAAAGGAAGUACUGUUCUUAGUUCCAGGCACAGAGGAGGUAGGUUUCUGGCUUCAGGUCACACAGCAUCAAUGUGGCUUCAUCCUCAGCAGUCAUUCUGUGCUGGCCUUGCUAAUCACCGAGAACUUUGGUCCCUUUUCAUUUUCUGUCAUCCAUUGUUUGAAAGUUCUCUUGGGUACCCCUCAGCAGUUAUCCACCACCAUCUUCCCUUGGCUUCAGCUAUAUUUUGCUGAUGUCAACAGGCUCUAUUUUAAUGUUUCCCAAAAAUUGGGGGCUGAGCUGGGGAAUGUUCUGGGAUGUUCGUGCCCACAUCUCCAUGUUUUGGAGGAUGUGAGUCCUGGGUCCUAAAGAUGACAGUUGUGGUGCCUCUGGGGUGCCCUCACUGUACAAAGGCUCCAUUCCAGGAUCCUGAGGCCUGCCAACCUUCUGUCCUCACACACCUGCUUGACGAGGCAGCUCUUCCUGGGGCCCACACUUGGCAGACAAGGAGAUGGAAGCACACGACAUGGCUAGGGCAACACGCCCAUCUGGCACAGGUUGGGAGGCAUUGCUGGGAUUCACACCCAGGCCCUUUACCCACCAUCUUCACUUUAGGGGCUUUCUCAAGAUGAUACUCUCCGCUGGGAAAUAACUCUGUGGGAUGCUCUUAGAAAUUAGGUAACCAAAGGGUCCUAUGGUCAAAUAUGCUUGAGACAGUGGGUUUAAAUAACACCAAACAAGUUGCUUUAUGUCUGGGUCUUUGAAUAAACCAAAUAGAUCUUCAAAAGCAGGACACAGCAGGCACAUUUGUUAAACUCAUUUGACCAUGAGGGCUCUUUACUUUUGGUGAAUCAUCUUGAGGUACACAUGGUGUCAAUCAGCUCUAGAAGCAUCACAGAUGGGAAGGAUGUUUUGGGGAAGAACCAUAACUCCAGAUUCCCUCUAGUCCUCCCUCCUCCAUUCCAAUUUCCCCCCAAACAUCCCUUGAAUAACCCACACCACUGGUCCUGCUGUAUACCCAGUGUGAGUUCAGGGGAAAGCAAGCUUAAGUACUGAGCUUCUGUACAGUGAAGUGCACUUUCCACAUUGGUAAUUUGCCCUUGAGAGAAUCUGUUGUGAAGUAGGAUUUCUGGUAAAGCAAAUCGCUAUGAGCAGACUGGAGAAUCCAGAAUUUUGUUAAGUAGGCUUCAAAGAGAGAUAUAUCUGGCCUUUUCCUUUAAGGGUGGGAGGAAAACGUUGGAUGGAGGGAGGGGAGACAGACCAGGGCAUGGAAGCCCUCCGAUAGAAGCUGUUGGUUUCUCCCCAGAGUUGCAGAAAAUAAUAAUAUGACUUCUGCUUUUCACCUCCUCUGGGGGCAAUCCAGGAGCUUGUCUGAGAGGACAGAGCCGGGCCGUGGCGAGUGGUGCCGUCCAGCGUUGAAUCGUAGAGCGUCUAGGCCAUCCGCCCUGCUGGCCUGCUGCGCUCACGGUGCCUGCAGACGUCUUGCACCCUUUAACUUGGCUGGCGAGCUUUUUCCUUGCUGGGUGUCAUUGGUCUAUUCAUGUUUAGUCCCACUCUCUGGGAUCUCCAGGCAGCUAGGUUGGACCUGCUGCGAGCUGGGCCCUGUGGCUGCAGUGAUGAUCCACGCACUCAUGUGUGAAGUCACUCGUUUGCUGGUGCAUUCAGUCAUCCCCAGGGCCCAGAGGCACAGAGAUGCCUGGCGUGGGUUCUCUGCUGGGGAGGAGGGCUCCCUGGCUCAGCAAGGAAGAGGCCACAUGCACAGCUGAUCAGAGCUUCUGGCAGGAGUUAGGGCGCAACAGGGACAGGCAAGGGCAGACGUUCAGAAGUCCUAACGGAAGCUGGGUCAGGGUCGUUGCAGGUGUUUUGGGUACCAGGGCCAAAUGAGCUGCGCUUUGAGGGAUGUGGGCUGUGGCCCCACAGAAAAGACCUUCUGGGACACGGAGCUGCCCGAGCAAGGAGAUGAGUCCGAGAAAGUCCAGAGGGUGUGACUGGCUUGUCAGCAGAAGUGACACUAGAUUUAAGAUUUUUGCCAUUUCUGUGACUACUGUGACUCUUCUUAUGCUAGAUGUGUCCCUAACAUCUGUCACUGAUGGAAAUCUUUCUAGGUGGAGAAUUUCUAAAAAGCCCACUUGAAUUAUUUAACUUGAUAGCUCAUUUAUUUAUUUUAUUUUAUUUUUUACCAGCAGAAUGGGAACAGAUAUCUACCCAAGUUACGGACGAUGAGUGAAUGAGGUAUAUAAAGUCUGGCGCUCUGGGGAUACCUAAUAAAUGCUCAGGAAAUGUAGUCAUCACCAUCCUCAUCACCAUCACCAUCACCAAAUGCUGGAAGGAACCAGCAUUCGUCAGACAGCUUGGCCAUGAGAUCUCAAAGGCAGACACUCUGAACGAUCUCGAAUCCUCUGCACCUGACAGUUUCUGGGCUGGUCUCUCUCAGUGAAUGACUUGCAGGUGAUUUCAAUGGUUGAAUAAGCAAAUAUCCCUUCUCUCUAGAAAUCCUGAUUCCCGAUUUCCUCUUUUCCUUGGGAAUGCAGUCAGCAGCCCUGGGCUGGGUGGGAAGACCCCGCACCUCGGGACCCGCCCUGCAUCUUCUUGUGCAUCCUCUGAGAGUCCCUUGUGGAUGAGGAACAUCUGACCCCUGUUUAGAAAGAUGGCCUUUCACAAUCCGCCAGUUCCCUAGAUGCAACUUGCUGAGCUGACAGAAUGUGCAGAGAAGAACUAACUAUUUUUAGCACGAACUGGAAGAAUUAGAACUUUGCUCUCUUCUCAAAUAUCAACCCUGCAGUGUGCGGGAGGCACAAGGCCACCGCUGGAGAGCGGGGUGGAGGGAGAUGGUCGUCACACUCGUGUGGCUGCAGUCCCACCGGAAACAGCGGGGACCCCAGGAUGGCGCUCCUGCUCGGGUCGGGUGUGAUGGCAGGUGCUGGACCCCACAGGGUCGUUUCGGUCUUCAGUCACUUCAGGCUGCUGGUUUAACCCUCCCUAAUCUGCAGAUAGGAAAAGUGAGGCAGAGAGGAGAGAAACGCCACCAAAGCCACCGCAGAGAUGAGAGUGGAGCUGGAUCCCACCCUGGUCUGUCUGCUUCACGCUCAAGGCGUCUCUGAGGAUAAAAGUCAUGCAACAGCCAGAGCAGAAAGGACUGGCCAGCCCAGCCUCCUGGCUGGAGAGCGGAAUCGUCGCAUGGCUCAUGGGGCACUUUGUUUUGCUGGUGGGCACAGUGGUGGCUUCGUGGAUGGGACCUCGGGGAUUCUGUCCUGAGGAGCGCCCGAGGGACGCUGAGGACCUUUUUAUUUUGCAUCUGCGCACGGCCUCCACUGUUCCCCUGAAAUACCUUCCUCCCCGCAGCGGGACUCUAGGAGGCUGCCCCAGGCAGGGCUGGGCACUUGCCCCAUCUUGGAAAUCAGACCCUGGGAGAGUAAAUCAUGACCAAAACCUGAACACAGCCAGAGCCCAUUGGUCCACAGUUGCUGACACCUGGCUCCACGCGUAGCUGUCCCUUCUUUCCAAGAGCUCCCAGGGCAGGUACUGUGGCUCACUCAGUGCACAUUCCAACUCCCUCCAAGCUGUGCUUUCUCUCCUCCAGGAAGUGCAAGGCUCAAAGCCCACUAGCAGACUUCCCUGCAGCCAGGGUGGCAUGUGACUUAGCUGGUAAGGGACAAGUGCAAGUCUGUUGGACUAUUUGUUUCCUCUUCCUUCUUCCUCCAGGAAGGUGAGCAUGAUGGCUGGAGCUAUGGCAGAUACCUUAUGAGCAUGAGGGAAAGCUUAGGAGAACUGCAGAGACAAACCAGACACUGCUCAGUAACAUCAGGCAAGACUACUUGAUGAAGAGCUCCCUCCUGCUACUGUUUGGGGGUUUCUCUUACUUCCAGCUAAACACUCCUCUUAGGUGGUGUGUAACCUGUGUAUUUCCUUUGCACUUUCCAAAAUGAGGAGUGUGCUUGGACUAGUUUUGUUCACAAUCAAAAGCCCUUAAUCAGUUUAAGGAAAGGGGUACAGUGCAAAGGGGAGUCACAGAGGGACUGGCAGGACAGCGGAGGUGUGGUGGGAUUUACAUUUUCAGAUGGACAGGUUGAACCGGGAGCAGAGACUGGUUCUGCUGCCAUCGUCCAGAGAAGUCUGGGGAGCGGGGGCAGGGAAGCAAAGCCCAAGUGAAGAGCUUGCGGAGCUGGCGGGAGGAGGCCUGGACCGCAGGACGGUGCACAGAGCACCUCGCCCACCUGCCCGCCCCGGGUGGUGCCGAGUCGACAGAGCUCUAGGGGACACGCCAGACUCCCACCUGCCGACUCCCUGUUCCGAAGCUGGACACAGGGUCCCUUGGUCACUGCAGUUCUUCUGUGCAGGAGGCUCCCACUGAGGGGGCAGCCCGCCGUGUGACACUGGACACACUCCAAACACCUUCUCAGAUGGUCUCAGCCCUCCUUCUCCUGCCUCCUUUCCUUUCUUCCCUCCACCGGGGAUUCUCUUCCUUCCUCAUAAACAGACAAGUCCCUCUUGGAUCCCCUCCUCCCCCUCCUCCUUAUCCCUCAGCUUCUCCAGAAACCCCUGUUGGGAUUUCCCACCCAAACCCCUCCUGGGCUCCGCUGAGACAGGGGACACCCCAGGCCUGCCAGGGAUGGGGCUGGACCUGAGGAGCUGAGGGCCACGGGCCACGGAAUCAGAACUCGUUCGCCAUGGACAGGUUUCCUGAGAUGCUCUUAUGAGAGGAAACGAUUCCUGUGGGAUGGGGGCGAUUCCUGAAGCCGGGGUGGCAGGGUCCUGGGGCUCAGGCAGGUGAUAUUUAGCUGACUGUGCCUGAGUCUGGAGGUUCCAGGCCCCAGGUCGUCCAUCCAGGGGCCCAAACCUUGACAGCAGCCUGGAGUCAUGUCUCUCCAGCCGGGAGAUCUGAAUACACAGCUCAGCUCCACUUCACGCCGCCUUCUCCUUCAGUACCUAUCUACUGGGUGACCGCUAGGACCCAGGCAGCGAGAACGCUGGGUAGAAAGACAAUGGCCCUGCCCAGGGAGCUGCAGGUGUAGGUGGUGAGAGAGAUGCGUUUUGUCCUCAUCUGUCCUAAGUAAUAAUCAUAGAAAUGGGAGCUGGGGAGUACGUGGGCCACAUAGGUCACUGCAUUCCGUCUCACCAAAGACCCCAGGAGAAACCGCCAGCUACCCAGUUUGCAGGUGGGAAAUUGAGAUCUCGAAAGGUCAAGAUCACAAAUGUAUCAAGUGGCAGAGCUGGGAUUUAUGUCCUCACUUGUAAAUACAUCCCGCUUUACUCCUCCACACUCACACAGAAAACAUGUGCACACACACAGACACGUGCGCACACACAAGCACACGCACACACUCUCCAAGAAGAGCAUCUACCCAGCCUCGGCCUCAGGAAGGGGCAAGGGGAUGUGCAGCCUCAGGAGGUGUGGGAGCUCCCCAGAUGGAGGAGGCAAGGGCUGACCAGGCAGGGGGAGGGCAGGAGCCAUGUGGUGGUGAGAGAGGUGGUGGCCUGGGAAUCCGUCAGUUCUUCAACCUGGUCGAUGUGUGGCUUUACUGGAGGGGAGGGUGUGAGGUGGACAAGGUCAGACAGGGUGGGCUCCAGGUGCCACACUAGGAGGUCCUGGCAUUUGUAUUUCAGAAGGUCAUUCUGCUGGCUUAUCUGGAAGUUGGUAGGAUGAGGACGGAGGGGUGCAGUCACCAGGAACAUUAUAAAUGGCUGGAGGAGGUGGCCUGACUAAUGUUCAUGCUCUGCAAGGCAAGACUGGCUACCUGGCCACAUUGUCUCUGACCACCCUCUGUGUGGGAUGAGGGGAGAUUCCUGAAGCUGGGAAUGGCAGGGUCCUGGGGCUCAGGCAGGUGAUAUUUACCCCAAAAUCUGGAGUAAAUGAGGAAAUGUCUCCUAAGCCCUGUCAAAAGGACAGAGAUCCUGAAGGAACAGAAGGUGUGAGCUCACUCCAGCUUUAACUUGUCAUCUGAGGAAAGUUUGGGCUGAAUUUUUUUGUCUCUGAAUUUCAGUUUUCUCUUCUAUACAGUGGAAGCAUUAGUAGCAACUUCACCACAAACAUAAUAGAAAAUAAAUCAGACAAGAUGAAAAUAAAUACGUGGGGCUGGGGAUGUGGCUCAAGUGGUAGCGUGCUUGCCUGGCAUGCGUGCGGCCCGGGUUUGAUCCUCAGCACCACAUCAAACAAAGAUGUUGUGUCCGCCGAAAACUAAAGAAUAAAUAUUAAAAAAAACCCAAUUCUCUCUCUCUUAAAAAAAAUAACCUCGCUAUAGCUAUUUUAUGCUUUACUCUUUGCUCUGUACACCUAGUAAUGAAUAAUAAAGGCUUAAAACAAUA
This is a non-coding RNA of Ictidomys tridecemlineatus (thirteen-lined ground squirrel), 8323 nucleotides long. Lineage: Eukaryota; Metazoa; Chordata; Mammalia; Rodentia; Sciuridae. The record is from RefSeq and is a predicted model, not a curated record.